CAGUCGCCGCGGUAAUACGAAGGGGGCCAGCGUUGUUCGGAUUUGCUGGGCGUAAAGCGCACGUAGGCGGAUCGAUCAGUUAGGGGUGAAAUCCCAGAGCUCAACUCUGGAACUGCCUUUGAUACUGUCGAUCUGGAGUAUGAAAGAGGUGAGUGGAAUUCCGAGUGUAGAGGUGAAAUUCGUAGAUAUUCGGAGGAACACCAGUGGCGAAGGCGGCUCACUGGACCAUUACUGACGCUGAGGUGCGAAAGCGUGGGGAGCAAACAGGAUUAGAUACCCCGGUAGUCCCUGUCUCUUAUAC
Molecule: ribosomal RNA, 301 nt
Filed under: uncultured bacterium
Lineage: Bacteria
Description: partial 16S ribosomal RNA
Rfam family: Bacterial small subunit ribosomal RNA
Source: RNAcentral